UCCAACUGAUAAGAGAAUUUCAGAGGAUCCUGGUAUUACUUCAUCUUGUGAAAAAGUGAAUUCCUUAACUAGUACCCUGCUCUGUGUUCAUGAUGGCAGCAGUUUCAGUGAAGCAGAUCAUCACGAAGGAAGGCUGAAGAAGAGCGAAAUGGCACUCAAAAUCAAAAUGUCAGAGCUUUGCAAGAUAGACAUCUGAAUAACCACCUAUGGAUGCAGAAGGAAAUAGUAGAAGCAACUACUUCUAAAGUGAAUCAGAGUUCUGAGCUUCCUGAUUGUCAUGAAAAAGAUCUGCUGCUAAAAAAACAUACCCUUCAGCAUGAAAUUGCCAUGCUCAAACUGGAACUAGACACAGUAAAAAAUCAGA
Long non-coding RNA from Gracilinanus agilis (Agile Gracile Mouse Opossum), 364 nucleotides. RefSeq lists it as uncharacterized. The transcript has 3 exons. The record is from RefSeq and is a predicted model, not a curated record. Lineage: Eukaryota; Metazoa; Chordata; Mammalia; Didelphimorphia; Didelphidae.